RNAcentral lists this ribosomal RNA (488 nucleotides) under uncultured bacterium. RNAcentral's name for it is "bacterial SSU rRNA". It matches the Rfam family "Bacterial small subunit ribosomal RNA", at positions 28 to 486 of the family's 1533-position model. The record is from RNAcentral.
GACGAACGCUGGCAGUGUGCUUUACACAUGCAAGUCGAGCGGAUUUCUCUGUUUGUAGCAAUACAAACGGAGGAAUCGAGCGGCAAACGGGUGAGUAAUGGAUAGGUAAUCUACCAUAAUGACUGGGAUACCCCCUUGAAAAAGGGAUCAAUACCAGAUAAUGUCAGUUUAAAUACUUUUAAGCUGAAGAAAGAUGGCCUAAAGCUAUCACAUUAUGACGAGCCUAUCUCCUAUCAGCUUGUUGGUGAGGUAAUGGCUCACCAAGGCUAUGACGGGUAGCUGGUCUGAGAGGAUGGUCAGCCACACUGGAACUUAGACACGGUCCAGACUCCUACGGGAGGCAGCAGGUGGGAAUCUUGGGCAAUGGCGAAAGCCUGACCCAGCGACACUGCGUGGGUGAUGAAGAUCUUUGGAUUAGUAAAACCCUUUUCCUGAAGAUGAAAGGUAGGAUUGAGAAUAUCCUUCCUACCCUGACAGUAUUCAGGGAA